Long non-coding RNA from Haliotis rubra (blacklip abalone), 853 nucleotides. RefSeq lists it as uncharacterized. Lineage: Eukaryota; Metazoa; Mollusca; Gastropoda; Lepetellida; Haliotidae. The transcript is spliced from 3 exons. The record is from RefSeq and is a predicted model, not a curated record.
UGAGGAGGAAACACAGGGCUGUAUAAGGGGGGGUGCUGAUGCACAGCUUCUGGGGAGGUUUGGCACUAUCGAGGAGUGUGGCCAGGCCUGCUUGUUUCUGGCAGCAGAGGGCACCUUCUGUACCGGCAUCGAUCUCAACCUGUCCGGUGGCGCUGAGCUCAACUAUGGCUUCAAGAACAUGAGAGAAAGAACAGGCAUCUACCAAUAAGAGUGUUGCUCUUCAAGGAAGCUUUUCUUGCCACCUGUAUUUCAUAUGGCCAACACGUAUUUAGCUUUAAAUCUUUCCAUGAUUGCAUCAUAUCCUUCAACUAAUAUAGCAUGUGUAGGGGCAGUGGGGUAGCCCAGUGGUUAACACAUUUGCUCGUCACGCUGUAGGCCUGCGUUCGAUUCCCCAUAUGGGCACAAUGUGUGAAGCCCAUUUCUGGUGUCCCCGUCAUGAUAUUGCUGGAAUAUUGCUAAAAGCGGCGUAAAACCAAACUCACUCGCUCAGUAUACACAUGUUAUUUGCCUUUUCAUUAUACUUUACUUGAAAUAUUUGAAUUUGAAGUCAAAAAGAAAAUAUGUUUGGUUAUGUAUGUAAAAAGAUAUUUUUAUAUACAUGAGUUUAAUGCAUAGAUUUGAUAAUGGUAUAUUUUGAUGGUAGGCAUUUCAUCAAAUUCCACAGAACAUUAUGCAGAGUACAGCAAAACAUGUUUGCUAAAACAUUGAAAUCAGAUCCAAUAUGUUUCCUCUCUUCAAGAAGAUCUGACGACAACUCCUCAGAAUGUUUUUUUAUGGAGAACUUUCUUUUUGGCCAGUGAGCAUCAAAAUGUCUGUAUUCUUGGUCCUGAUAAAUGAAACAUUCAUACCAGAA